RNAcentral lists this ribosomal RNA (513 nucleotides) under Kluyveromyces marxianus. RNAcentral describes it as "eukaryotic LSU rRNA". It matches the Rfam family "Eukaryotic large subunit ribosomal RNA", at positions 95 to 649 of the family's 3401-position model. The record is from RNAcentral. Lineage: Eukaryota; Fungi; Ascomycota; Saccharomycetes; Saccharomycetales; Saccharomycetaceae.
GAAGCGGCAAAAGCUCAAAUUUGAAAUCUGGCGUCUUCGACGUCCGAGUUGUAAUUUGAAGAAGGCGACUUUGUAGCUGGUCCUUGUCUAUGUUCCUUGGAACAGGACGUCAUAGAGGGUGAGAAUCCCGUGUGGCGAGGAUCCCAGUUAUUUGUAAAGUGCUUUCGACGAGUCGAGUUGUUUGGGAAUGCAGCUCUAAGUGGGUGGUAAAUUCCAUCUAAAGCUAAAUAUUGGCGAGAGACCGAUAGCGAACAAGUACAGUGAUGGAAAGAUGAAAAGAACUUUGAAAAGAGAGUGAAAAAGUACGUGAAAUUGUUGAAAGGGAAGGGCAUUUGAUCAGACAUGGCGUUUGCUUCGGCUUUCGCUGGGCCAGCAUCAGUUUUAGCGGUUGGAUAAAUCCUCGGGAAUGUGGCUCUGCUUCGGUAGAGUGUUAUAGCCCGUGGGAAUACAGCCAGCUGGGACUGAGGAUUGCGACUUUUGUCAAGGAUGCUGGCGUAAUGGUUAAAUGCCGCC